RNAcentral lists this ribosomal RNA (561 nucleotides) under uncultured Clostridium sp. RNAcentral's name for it is "bacterial SSU rRNA". It matches the Rfam family "Bacterial small subunit ribosomal RNA", at positions 94 to 668 of the family's 1533-position model. Lineage: Bacteria; Bacillati; Bacillota; Clostridia; Eubacteriales; Clostridiaceae. The record is from RNAcentral.
AGCGGCGGACGGGUGAGUAACGCGUGGGCAACCUGCCUUGCACAGGGGGAUAACACAGGGAAACUUGUGCUAAUACCGCAUAACAUCACGGGGAGGCAUCUUCCUGUGAUCAAAGGAGAAAUCCGGUGCAAGAUGGGCCCGCGUCCGAUUAGCUAGUUGGCGGUGUAACGGACCACCAAGGCGACGAUCGGUAGCCGAACUGAGAGGUUGAUCGGCCACAUUGGGACUGAGACACGGCCCAGACUCCUACGGGAGGCAGCAGUGGGGAAUAUUGCGCAAUGGAGGAAACUCUGACGCAGCAACGCCGCGUGAAGGAUGAAGGUCUUCGGAUUGUAAACUUCUUUGAUGAGGGACGAAGGAAGUGACGGUACCUCAAAAACAAGCCACGGCUAACUACGUGCCAGCAGCCGCGGUAAUACGUAGGUGGCGAGCGUUGUCCGGAAUUACUGGGUGUAAAGGGCGCGUAGGCGGGGAUGUAAGUCAGAUGUGAAAUUCCGGGGCUUAACCCCGGCGCUGCAUCUGAAACUAUGUUUCUUGAGUGCUGGAGAGGAAAGCGGAAUU